RNAcentral lists this long non-coding RNA (1420 nucleotides) under Coturnix japonica (Japanese quail). RNAcentral's name for it is "lncRNA (ENSCJPG00005003543.1)". Lineage: Eukaryota; Metazoa; Chordata; Aves; Galliformes; Phasianidae. The record is from RNAcentral.
GGGAAUAGGGGGGGUAAGGGAAUAGGGGGGGGGUUAUUGGUUUGUUUUGUCUUUGUAAAUUGCACAUCAAAACUGCCCCACUGAUGGUGGGACGCGGAGCUGAACCCGUUGUGCUUGGAACCAGCGGUGGGAGGAAGGAGGAGCUGAACCCCCCCAUAUAGGACAGUGCCCACAUCUCCCAUCCCAUGGCGCAGAGAUACCACCCCCCCCACACCCCACAUCCAACCCCCCUCCCCUUCCCAGCAUCAAACAGAUGAGCACCCCCCCACCCCCACCCCCAGUGCCAAUGGGGCAGCAAUGGGGCAGCAGUGGGGCACAGAGCUGCUGCCAUCCGGUUAUCACAAGAGGUAGUGAGAACAGUGCAGAAAGGACACAACUCAGAGCUCUCAGUUUCCAACCACCUCGCUCUGACCCUCCCCAAUGCCACACAUUGGCACUGGGAUGAGGUCUGGGGAGGAGGGGGGGGGGGGUUGUGGGGAUACCCCCCCCCCUAUGGGGCUCAUCCCACUCUGGGCAUCAGUAAAGUGCUGUUGGCGCUGGGCUGGGGGGUGUGGGACCCCCCGGGAAUGCCACGCUGAGCUCCUUGUGCAGCCCCCCCCCCCCCAUCGGGGGCUCUAUUGCUUUGGGGACGUGGGGGGCUGCACACUCACACUGCCCCUAUUUGGCACCACUACGCCCUGGCAGCACAGCAAGACCCUAAAAGGAACCUGCAGUGCUCAGCAAUGAGAAAGGGAGCAAUGCUUCUUUAUCCCAACCCCAACACACACACAUAGAGGAGGGUAAGGAAAGGGCAGAACCUUCUGGGUAACUCCUAAAGGAAGAGGAUUCAAAGCAUCACAGCUCCUGGCCUUAUGCUGCACCUAUGGGUGCUUUGGUGCACAGACCCCAAACUGCUCUGACCCCAUCCCAAACUGCCCAUGGUGCCGUAGUGCAAUAACUUGGGAAUGGAAUGAAUGUUAUCAGCAGUGAGACGGCCGGCCCAGCUGCAAUCCUACUGCCUACGACCCCAAACAGUGCUCACACCGACCCUAAGGACAGGGGAACCCCAAACGAUGUUCACACCAACCCCAUGGACAGUGGGACUCCAAAUGAUGCUCACACUGACCCUAAGGGCCCUGGGACACCAAACCGUGCUCACACUGAUCCUAAGGACACCGGGAUCCCAAAAGGCACUCACACCAAUCCUAAGGACAGUGCACCUCCAAAUGGGGCUCACACUGACUCUCUAAGGGCAGUGGGACCCCAAACCACAUUCACACUUACCCUAAGGACAUCAGGACCUAAACUGCAACUCACACUGAGCCUAAGGACAAUGAGACCCCAAACCAUGGUCAUACCGACCCUAAGGGCACUGGGAAUCCAAACUGUGCUUACACUGACCCUGAGUGAGCACUUUGGGUCCAAACUGCACUCACACUGA